UACGUAGGGUGCAAGCGUUAAUCGGAAUUACUGGGCGUAAAGCGUGCGCAGGCGGUGAUGUAAGACAGGUGUGAAAUCCCCGGGCUUAACCUGGGAACUGCAUUUGUGACUGCAUCGCUGGAGUGCGGCAGAGGGGGAUGGAAUUCCGGCGUGUAGCAGUGAAAUGCGUAGAUAUGCGGAGGAACACCGAUGGCGAAGGCAAUCCCCUGGGCCUGCACUGACGCUCAUGCACGAAGCGUGGGAGCAAACAGG
RNAcentral lists this ribosomal RNA (252 nucleotides) under uncultured bacterium. Its description in RNAcentral is "partial 16S ribosomal RNA". It matches the Rfam family "Bacterial small subunit ribosomal RNA", at positions 524 to 776 of the family's 1533-position model. The record is from RNAcentral.